UCCUGGGACAGUCCCUCUCCUCCACGGGGGCCACUUUGCUGACGGUAACGCUGGGGCGGCCGGGGCUGCAGGGCCCGGUGCUCGGGGCUGCAGCGGCCGCCGUGCCAGUGGCCGGCCGAGGGGCGGGCUGCGCCGCGGGAGCCGGGGCCCCGCCGCCCGACCUACCGCGCCCGCCACAGCCGUUACUGCCUUGGGGUUCUCAAGCCCACACAAACCAACCGCCAUUGUUCGCUCAUGGCGGUUCCCGGUUCACCCCGCGGAACAGCAGGAGCCCUCCCCACGCGAGAACCGCCCGCCUCGGCGGCGCCGUUAUCCCACCGGGGUAACGGGCCGCUCUGACGCAAACGGCUCGCGGCGCAGCGGCGCCUCGCUGCAAUUAAAGUUUCGGUAAACUGGGUUGGCGAGCCGCCGCGCGGUACCGCGCACGCCGGCCGUGUCCACAGGCACCUCUUGGAGGAUGUCGGUAACCGCUGGCCGCGGCACAGCCGGCGGGUCACCGAGGAAACCCUCCUCCCGAGUGCAGGGACACACGCACGCAGUGUGAGGAAAUUAAUUCACAGUAAGUCCAGGUGGUUUUGGUGACAUGGAGACGGAGGCUUUGCCAUCCCACAGGAUUCCUGCUUAAGACAUGCAAGUCCCUCAUUCUGUUUGGUUGGAAGAUUUCUACUGACUGCUCUGCAACAUCCAUAAGACUGCAGCAGGAGAGAUCAGCCCUGCUCACUGAAUGCCUAAUGGUGCCCUUACAACAAAGCACUGACAAGAAAUUGCAAGAUAUCUGUUUGCAACAUCACCACAUAAGGAAAUCCCACAGAUGCCAACAGGAGUCUCCAUGAAAGGCAAAAUCCUGGCCCCAUUGAAGGAAUCCCCAAAUCACGUAAUCAUCAUAGACACUAUGGGUGCUGAUUACUUUUUGCAGGGCUCCUCCACAUCAACGUUACGAAGAAGUCAUUUUUCCCUGUGCUUGCCCAUUAACUCUAAGCCAGGUAAUUUUCCUAAUGAAAUCGGUAAUACCAUUUCUUUGUCCUUUGAUCAGGUUGUCUGAAUUAAUUUGUGCCUGUAUCUAUGCUAACCACAACAGUUUUAAACCUCAGCCUAAGUUCCUGCAAAAUUUAGCCACAAAUACAUGCAUUUCCCUUCUGUUGUUUGCUCCCAGUGAUGCAAGCUUCAUUAUUCUUUCCUUUCUUCCUCCUUCCUCCCACUCAUGUAUUUGAGGCUUUCUUACAUGCUUUGUAGCUCUGCUUCUCACCUCCUCCUCAUUUAGAUCCUUCCUAAAGAAAAGAGUGUCUUAGAAGACCCACGUUUGCAAAGGAAAAAUAUUAAUAGUGGAGACUUUCUCAGAGGUGCAGUUUUCCUAUGUCUUCAAGUGCAUCUUGUCUCCCUGUAUCAAUCUUAGCAAUGUUAACUCUCCCAUGUAGAGGACUGCUUUGUUAUCUGUAUCUGUCGGAUAAAAUAUAAAAUUCUUGCCUCUCUCCAAAUGGGGAAAAAAUUUACGAUCUACACUGUAGAAUGUUUUCUCAUGUCCAUGUCAGUCCAUUUUCUCUAAUUUUCCUUGAAGUUUUUCAUUAAGCCUUGUUUUCUUGGAGAGCCUGUAAAUCCAGGCUUUCCAGCUGGCAGCGCCUGGAUGAUUUCUGGCCUUUCGCCCGAAUUUACAGCCCCGAGAGCAGCCCCAAGGCACAGGUGACUCCCCUCCUAUCUCAAGAAGAAAUGCCCCUGCCGCCUCUUCUCUGCUGCCAGCACAGCACCGUGCUUCCUCCAGGGACAGACAGAUGAGAGGCACUUUGCCACAGGGAUCCCUCUUGGGAACAAAUCCAGUCCCGCGGGGGAUGCAGCUCAAAAGGAGUUUGGCUGCAUCUACAAAGUAGCUGUAGGUCCUGCUAUAAACCUCCUCAUAUCUCUUCAAGGACUUGCUGUAGCACCAUGUGAUUAUUUACCAAGGAUCAGAGUUAGGAGGCGUUGCAGGAGAUGUGCACAGUGCUUCCAUGCGUGCCCUGCUCCACAACUCCAUUGUGUUGUGUUGUUACCAUUCAAUUUUUCGCUUCCAAAUUUGUUUAUCAUGACUGAGAUGGCUGGGGGGCUCCCAGGCCAGGUAUUGUGAUUAAUGGGGGCAACAUGAAAGUGAACAUAACUGUGGUUGGAAAUUGGUCACCAUACAACUGCUCAUUGUUUCCAAAACGUCAUUCUAUAGAUGUACUCUUUACCCUUCUAAUUUCUUGAACUUGUUUGGUCUCCUCAUUUGAACACAAAGAUGAAAAUGCCAAUGCUUUAAGCCAGAUCACCCAUUUUCAAAGGCAGAAAGAUGUCAGUGACUUUUUUUCCACUUACCCAUUUGCCAUUUGUAUCUCACAGUGCAAAACCAGAAGGCAAAUAAAAAAACAUUCAUCUAAAUUUUCAGAUAUUCCUAAUAUACCUAGUGCCUCAGUUUUUUGUAUGCCUGACUUGAGUUAUACUUAAGAUUUUCAUAGGACAAGUAUUCAUGCAGUUCCAGGUCAAUUUACUGUUGCCUCUCAGAUGUACAGGGCAUAUGGCCCAGACUCUGCACCGAAACACUCCUGUUUCUGGUGCUGCCUGCCCGAGCACUCUACCACGUAAGGCUGAGCCCUGGACAAAGUAGUGAAACACAGGGGCAUUACAGUAAUGACAUUCCCUCUUCCGUGCUCAUGAAUCAAGUCCCACUCGCAUUCCCCAUGGACAGCCAGGCAGACCUUUUAUGGUCACAUAGGGGUACUUAAUUAUGCACAUAUAUGUGUUCUUCUACUACUUUAACAGCGUAAGAGUCACUUGAGCAAUAGAUUUGAUUUUAUGAACCAAAAGGAUAAAACUCAGGUUCUCUGGUGGACAAUGAAAGUGGAUUUUUUCCACUCUUCCUUAUUUUAUUUUUGUUAAUAUCACCCUUAAACUUUGAAUUAUCCUGCAAGCAUUAGGGCUCAUUAACUUUGUUUCAGCUUGUACUUUGUGUUAAUGGGACAUUUUUUUUGUAACAAAUAUGAAUCACUUGAAUGCUAAGGCUUAAAUGUUUAAUACAAGUCAUUAGUAGAAUUACGUGUGAGGACUUAUAAGAAAGAUGAUGGUGUUGUUAUGGUUACUGCUGUAUCUCUGGCUGUCAGUGGUCUUUCUAAGUUACCCUCUGCUUAUGUCAGGCCUUGAGUUUUUAGCCUUCCAUGGAUGGGAUAAUCUGAUUCUCACAUACUUACAGCAAGCUCCGGCCUACAUACCCCAUACUUUCUCCAGGCUCACGUGAGAACAGAGACCUUCAGCCUUCCUGUGUGACCCAAACAAUGUUUUCAAAACAGAAGAGCCAUUUAACCUUUGAAAUAAAGCAUGUUGGUUAAAAACUGUUUCACAUUCACUUUAUCUUGUAGUCUUGCCAAUGUCUACUAAAGUAAACAUCUACAGAUCUGA
Falco peregrinus (peregrine falcon) is the source of this 3399-nucleotide long non-coding RNA. RefSeq lists it as uncharacterized. Lineage: Eukaryota; Metazoa; Chordata; Aves; Falconiformes; Falconidae. The transcript has 3 exons. The record is from RefSeq and is a predicted model, not a curated record.